Molecule: ribosomal RNA, 329 nt
Filed under: uncultured eukaryote
Lineage: Eukaryota
Description: partial 18S ribosomal RNA
Rfam family: Eukaryotic small subunit ribosomal RNA
Source: RNAcentral
CCCUUAGAUGUUCUGGGCCGCACGCGCGCUACAAUGAUGAAUUCAACGAGUUUAUAACCUUGGUUGAAAAGCCUGGGUAAUCUUUUGAACUUUCGUCGUGAUGGGGCUAGACCCUUGCAAUUAUUGGUCUCCAACGAGGAAUUCCUAGUAAACGCAAGUCAUCAGCUUGCAUUGAUUACGUCCCUGCCCUUUGUACACACCGCCCGUCGCACCUACCGAUUGAAUGGUCCGGUGAAAUCUUCGGAUUUAGACUUUGAUUUCUUCACGGAAAACGCUGUUUUAAGAAGUUGAUUAAACCUUACCAUUUAGAGGAAGGUGAAGUCGUAACA